GCUUAAUGGUUAUGUACAUAUACUAAAACUAGAACCAUACACAGAAAAUAGCAUGGCUGCUGUGCAAGGAUGACAUGCAAAUUCAUGAAUCGUUGCAUAUCUUA
This is a non-coding RNA of Erinaceus europaeus (western European hedgehog), 104 nucleotides long. The record is from Rfam. NCBI's taxonomy places the organism in Eukaryota, Metazoa, Chordata, Mammalia, Eulipotyphla, Erinaceidae.